GGACUCUUUCUCCCUCCAAGCCAAAGCUGGAAAGAAAGGAACCAGCCAAUGAAAAAGCCUGGCAACAAAGAGUCAAGAUAGUGAGGAAGCAGCUCCGUGUGGUGAGGCUGCCAGGGAAAUUACUGCAGCUGGUGGAUCCUCACCACCACCCCCACAGCCUCAUGUUGCCGGGUCACCACCUACUGCUGGUUGUCCCUCACAGGACAGUGGGCGGCUCAGUGGAGACGGCAGAGAGUUUAUUAUACUACUAGCACCCUGAUGGGUUUUCCCUUUUAGCUUUAAGAUAUUUGAAGGAAAAAGAAGAACCCCACCCCUACCCCUAACUUUUUUCCCCACACAGAGACAGUGGCUGUUCCCUGCCCACCUCCGAGUAGUCCUCAGUAGACACCAAUGCGCAUGAGCCUUUUCAGCAGGUGCAACCAAGUUUUCUUUUGACAUGACAGGAAGCUUCCUCCGGUUAACAAAGCCGUGCUCGUCCUGUCUGAACCACGGAACAAAGUCGACCUGAUGGCCGAUGAUCAGUCCAGUUUACCCUUCCCCUAACUUUUCCCCCAACACAGAGGCAGUGGCUGUUCCCUGCCCACCUCCGAGAAGAGAAGGAGAGAGGGAGUGAGUGUCUGUCUGGCUCUGAUGUCAGUGUUUGUAGGUUGAAUUGACUGAAGGUCAUGUUCAUGUGUUUGCAUGACUGCCUUUGUGUUUGUUUGUAAAAUCUACAUUCAAGUACACAGUAAGAAUCAAAUGUUGAUCAGAGAUUGAGUUUUUGUGUGCAUGUAUCCACCUAUAACCCACUUGGUUGUUGAUGUGUCCUGCUGUAGACUCUGGUGGUGGUGCUGGAGAGGAGGUCAGGGUCACCACAGCACACACCCCGUCUGAUUGGCCAGAGAGUGAAGAGUCUGAGCCAAUGACCUCAGAUCCCAUCUUCAUUCAAAGACCCCGCCGCCUGGAACGCUCAGCAGGUCGUACUGCACCUCCAGUCAGGAUGAUGAAAAGUCGACGCUGGAGGAGGUGAGCGAGGGAGUGAUUCCCAUUGACCAGCCCGCUCUGGGACCCUCCACACCAGGUAGCCAGGGGCUCGAGCUUCCCUUCCAGACCCACACUCAGUCCCAGGGUCACGGACUUAACAAGUCCAGUUCCUCUCCGGAGCUCCAAACCUUACCUGAAGCUUUUUCUAAGGCCGCUAUAGAGUCCCAGACUGCCAGGAGACGCAUCGAGGCCCAAAACACCUUCAGACAGCAAGCCUCAGCAGCAGCAGCCUCGUUUUGAGAAAGAGAAGGUGGAGGGAAGCACAGAGGGGACUUUAAUGGACUGG
Micropterus salmoides (largemouth bass) is the source of this 1309-nucleotide long non-coding RNA. RefSeq lists it as uncharacterized. The transcript is spliced from 3 exons. Lineage: Eukaryota; Metazoa; Chordata; Actinopteri; Centrarchiformes; Centrarchidae. The record is from RefSeq and is a predicted model, not a curated record.